AUUGAACGCUGGCGGCAUGCUUUACACAUGCAAGUCGAACGGCAGCGCGGGCUUCGGCCUGGCGGCGAGUGGCGAACGGGUGAGUAAUACAUCGGAACGUGCCCAGUAGUGGGGGAUAGCUCGGCGAAAGCCGGAUUAAUACCGCAUACGACCUGAGGGUGAAAGCGGGGGAUCUUCGGACCUCGCGCUAUUGGAGCGGCCGAUGGCAGAGUAGCUAGUUGGUGGGGUAAAGGCCUACCAAGGCGACGAUCUGUAGCUGGUCUGAGAGGACGACCAGCCACACUGGGAGUGAGACACGGCACAGACUCCGACGGGAGGCAGCAGUGGGGAAUUUUGGACAAUGGGCGAAAGCCUGAUCCAGCAAUGCCGCGUGUGUGAUGAAGGCCUUCGGGUUGUAAAGCACUUUUGGCGGGAACGAAAAGGACUGUGCCAAUACCACGGUUCGAUGACGGUACCCGCAGAAUAAGCACCGGCUAACUACGUG
RNAcentral lists this ribosomal RNA (484 nucleotides) under uncultured bacterium. RNAcentral describes it as "partial 16S ribosomal RNA". It matches the Rfam family "Bacterial small subunit ribosomal RNA", at positions 29 to 507 of the family's 1533-position model. The record is from RNAcentral.